This is a non-coding RNA of Paramuricea clavata, 453 nucleotides long. Lineage: Eukaryota; Metazoa; Cnidaria; Anthozoa; Malacalcyonacea; Plexauridae. The record is from the annotation of a GenBank genome assembly.
UUUAUCCAAUCUUCAAUUUAAAUAUUUUUCAAUGUUCUGAAUCCUGACUAUAUUUGCGGAUAAAACUGAUGAUCGAGGUUUGCCUUGAAUCUGGUCCAGUGUAGGUAGUGUCAAUUAAAAGAAAUCAAAGCCUCGGAUUGAUAGACGUUAAUUCCUUAAGUUUGCCCUUAAGAAUCAUAUAAGGGUAUCGAUAGCUUUGAAUUAUUAUUGUGAUCAGUAAAUUGUAUAAUUUCUAUAUAUGAAUUUAAAAUCCUAACUAGAUCUUUUAUAUAUGAUUUUUCUUACUCCAAGUAGCUUUUAGUCUAAUUUAGACGUUUUAAAGUAGAAUUAAAAACUUUGUAUAUAUUGUAUUUGAGGGCCACAGGUUUUCCAGUUGUAUUGUUGUCAUGUAUUCAUUCAUUCUGAUUCAUUCAUGCAACUACCUGAAAAAUACAACGAGAGCUUCGACGUUUG